AAAGGGGAGGAGCAGGGAGGUGGAGGAGGGACGAGCAUCGUGCCUGGACGUGAGGAGUGGGGCCUUGUGGACCCGUCCCCGAGCACCUGCGAGGGCUGGAAGAACCACUCGAGGACGCCUGGCAGUAUUGACAGCACUCAGCGCUCUCUCUUCAAAUGACUCCUCGACCGCAUGUGGUUGACGCACCGCGGCGUCCCGGAGGUUUAGAGGCGUCCAGAAACUUGUCUGGCAGGAUCGACUUGUUGACUUCGCGGCCUUCUAGGCCAGUGUCAUCACCUCAAAAACAGGAGGAGAAAAAUACAGAGAGAAGUGGCAGGAGGGAACAAUAGAGGACAGAAGUGCAUGACAGAAGCCACAGUGAUUCCCAGACCUGGGAAAGGUGGGACCACUGCAGAGACUGCCAAGAUAGAGUGCUUCACUGCUUGACCUCACCCUUCCUGAAGCUCUGCCUGCUUCCUGCACUUCAGCUGAGGCGAUGGAGAGACCUUGCCUGAAGUAGUAAGCAUAUGAGAUGGAGAGACUGGCUAUUACUCUCUUCCCUGAGUACCUUCAGAACGUUCCCAGACUGAUAAACAUUCCCCUCUUGUAUGGCAAUUUGAACUGCUUUCCACAUCAGAGGCUCAAAGGCGCCUGGCUGGAAUGUCCUCGUCUUGCCAGGGGAAGAAGAAAUUUUCCUCAGCCAAGGUUUUCCAGUUGCUUGGACACCCACAUUAUAGCUUUUGUCGCUUGACCUAUCUUUCUCUGUUGCUCUCUCUCAACUCGGUUUGUAAGUCAGAGGUAGGAAUUUCUGGUUUAGGCCUACCAGAGAAACAUUUUGUGGGAAAUUCUGGAAGGACAAUUUAUGUUUACAUUCUUAUUUUUGAUGAAACUACACGGGAAAACAAUGGUGUGCCAUCAAGUAUUAUACUGACCGUCUUUCAGAGAAGCGAGUGUGGUGGUCUAGUUAGAAGCAUGGGUUUUAUACACUGGGAACUCUGGGUGCAAGUCAUAGCUCCACCAUUUUUCCAGCCGUGACCUAAUUUACUUUAUGAAAAGUUUCAUUACACGUAGCUGAAGCCACAUUGUAACUGACCUGCCCAUUCAAAGUUUAAAUCUUUUGCAUCACUUUACAAAGCACUUUCACACACAUUGUUUUAUUUAUUCUACUCAACAACCUAUGAGGGAGGCAGGACAAAUAUUAUUAUUCAUAUUUUACAAGGAAAACAAUCUGAGGUUCAGAAUGUAAACUGCCCAAGUUUACAGUGGAAAUUUGGGAUUGAAAUCUAGGUUUCUGUAUUUCAAAUUCUGCCAGGUCCAUGUAAAUAUGCAGUAGCAAAAACAAGUAACUUGUAAGAGGGAACAACUUGUUACAACCACCAAGCACAGGACUUCUGGAGCCAAUCCAUCUGCAUUCAAGUGCCAGCUCUGCCACCUGCUGGCGUGUGCCAUCAGUUACAUACCUUCAC
This 1445-nucleotide long non-coding RNA is filed under the name Equus asinus (donkey). Its description in RNAcentral is "lncRNA (ENSEASG00005024083.1)". The record is from RNAcentral. Lineage: Eukaryota; Metazoa; Chordata; Mammalia; Perissodactyla; Equidae.